RNAcentral lists this ribosomal RNA (450 nucleotides) under uncultured bacterium. Its description in RNAcentral is "bacterial SSU rRNA". It matches the Rfam family "Bacterial small subunit ribosomal RNA", at positions 355 to 796 of the family's 1533-position model. The record is from RNAcentral.
UGGGGAAUUUUCCGCAAUGGGCGAAAGCCUGACGGAGUGACGCCGCGUGGGGGACGAAGGCCUUCGGGUCGUAAACCCCUGUCAGAGGGAAAGAAGGGUCGCGCGGUGAACAGCCGCGUGAUCUGACGGUACCUUCAGAGGAAGCCCCGGCCAACUCUGUGCCAGCAGCCGCGGUAAGACAGAGGGGGCAAGCGUUGCUCGGAAUCACUGGGCGUAAAGGGCGCGUAGGCGGGAUGGCAAGUCGGUCGUGAAAUCCCUCGGCUCAACCGAGGAGCGUCGGCCGAUACUGCCGUUCUUGAGGGAUGCAGAGGAGACUGGAAUUCCCGGUGUAGCGGUGAAAUGUGUAGAGAUCGGGAGGAACACCGGUGGCGAAGGCGGGUCUCUGGGCAUCUCCUGACGCUGAGGCGCGAAAGCGUGGGGAGCAAACGGGAUUAGAUACCCCCGUAGUCC